CUUCCCUCUUCGCUGUGAGCUCAGAGCAGCAGGACAAAGUGCUCGGGACAAGGACAGAGGGCUGAGAGUAGCCAUGGGCUCUGGAGGAGAGAGCCUCCUGGGGGGCAGGGGUUCCCUGCCUCUGCUGCUCCUGCUCAUCAUGGGAGGCAUGGCUCAGGACUCCCCGCCCCAGAUCCUAGUCCACCCCCAGGACCAGCUGUUCCAGGGCCCUGGCCCUGCCAGGAUGAGCUGCCGAGCCUCGGGCCAGCCACCUCCCACCAUCCGCUGGCUGCUGAAUGGGCAUCCCCUGAGCAUGGUGCCCCCAGACCCACACCACCUCCUGCCUGAUGGGACCCUUCUGCUGCUACAGCCCCCUGCCCGGGGACAUGCCCACAAUGGCCAGGCCCUGUCCACAGACCUGGGUGUCUACACAUGUGAGGCCAGCAACCGGCUUGGCACGGCAGUCAGCAGAGGCGCUCGGCUGUCUGUGGCUGGUGAGGCCUGGGAGAGGAGCUUCAGGGUGGGGCAGACCUGGGUGGAGACAUCUGAGUUGAAUGUUCAAGGGAACAUCUGAGAGGUCAGUGGGAUACCUGUGAGCAGAGGCCUGGGCUGGAAGGCUUGGGAGGGCAAGCUGGGGUGGGGCUGGCCCGAAAU
This 633-nucleotide small RNA is filed under the name Pongo abelii (Sumatran orangutan). RNAcentral describes it as "retained intron". Lineage: Eukaryota; Metazoa; Chordata; Mammalia; Primates; Hominidae. The record is from RNAcentral.